CCGAGCCUACGGGACGCAGCAGUGGGGAAUAUUGCACAAUGGGCGCAAGCCUGAUGCAGCCAUGCCGCGUGUAUGAAGAAGGCCUUAGGGUUGUAAAGUACUUUCAGCAGGGAGGAAGGUGAUAAGGUUAAUACCCUUGUCAAUUGACGUUACCCGCAGAAGAAGCACCGGCUAACUCCGUGCCAGCAGCCGCGGUAAUACGGAGGGUGCAAGCGUUAAUCGGAAUUACUGGGCGUAAAGCGCACGCAGGCGGUCAAUUAAGUCAGAUGUGAAAGCCCCGAGCUUCACUUGGGAAUUGCAUCUGA
This 305-nucleotide ribosomal RNA is filed under the name uncultured bacterium. RNAcentral describes it as "bacterial SSU rRNA". It matches the Rfam family "Bacterial small subunit ribosomal RNA", at positions 332 to 630 of the family's 1533-position model. The record is from RNAcentral.